GCAGUAGCCGCGGUAAUACGAAGGGUGCAAGCGUUACUCGGAAUUACUGGGCGUAAAGCGUGCGUAGGUGGUGGUUUAAGUCCGUUGUGAAAGCCCUGGGCUCAACCUGGGAAUUGCAGUGGAUACUGGGUCACUAGAGUGUGGUAGAGGAUAGUGGAAUUUCCGGUGUAGCAGUGAAAUGCGUAGAGAUCGGAAGGAACAUCUGUGGCGAAGGCGACUAUCUGGGCCAACACUGACACUGAGGCACGAAAGCGUGGGGAGCAAACAGGAUUAGAUACCCCUGUAGUCCCUGUCUCUUAUAC
This 302-nucleotide ribosomal RNA is filed under the name uncultured bacterium. RNAcentral describes it as "partial 16S ribosomal RNA". It matches the Rfam family "Bacterial small subunit ribosomal RNA", at positions 508 to 807 of the family's 1533-position model. The record is from RNAcentral.